GAAUUGMCGGGGACCCGCACAMGCGGUGGAUGAUGUGGUUAAUUCGAUGCAACGCGAAAAACCUUACCCACCUUUGACAUGUACGGAAGCCUUUAGAGAUAGAGGCGUGCUCGAAAGAGARCCGUAACACAGGUGCUGCAUGGCUGUCGUCAGCUCGUGUCGUGAGAUGUUGGGUUAAGUCCCGCAACGAGCGCAACCCUUGUCAUUAKKURMUACAUUCAGUUGGGCAMUCUAAUGAGACUGCCGGUGACAAGCCGGAKGAAGGUSGGGAUGACGUCAAGUCCUCAUGGCCCUUAUAGGUGGGGCUACACACGUCAUACAAUGGCUGGUACAAASGGUCGCCAACCCGSRAGGGGGAGCUAAUCCCACAAAGCCAGUCGUAGUCCGGAUCGUAGUCUGCAACUCGACUACGUGAAGUCGGAAUCGCUAGUAAUCGUGGAUCAGAAUGUCACGGUGAAUACGUUCCCGGGUCUUGUACACACCGCCCGUCACACCAUGGGAGUGGGUUYUGCCAGAAGUAGUUAGCUUAACCGCAAGGAGGGCGAUUWCCACGGCAGGGUUCGUGACUGGGGUGAAGUCGUAACAAGGUAACCGU
RNAcentral lists this ribosomal RNA (595 nucleotides) under uncultured bacterium. Its description in RNAcentral is "partial 16S ribosomal RNA". It matches the Rfam family "Bacterial small subunit ribosomal RNA", at positions 907 to 1503 of the family's 1533-position model. The record is from RNAcentral.